AAAAUGUGCUGAAAUGUAUGUUUUAUAUUGAGGAGAUUAAAUGCUUGUUAACACAGUUUCCACAGAAAAUUGAUCGCAAUUCAAUCCAAGAAUUUUGCAAUAUAGAAAUGUCUCACUAUGAGAAGCUAUCUUCGAUACGAAAUGAGUUGGACAGAUAUAUAAAGAAACCUGAAA
Non-coding RNA from Nylanderia fulva, 174 nucleotides. The record is from RefSeq and is a predicted model, not a curated record. Lineage: Eukaryota; Metazoa; Arthropoda; Insecta; Hymenoptera; Formicidae.